ACCACGGUGGUCUAGCGGUUAGAACGCUGGCCUUGUAAUCCUGGGGUCUCGGGUUCGAUUCCCGGCGGUGACC
This 73-nucleotide transfer RNA is filed under the name Zootermopsis nevadensis. It matches the Rfam family "tRNA". From Rfam's summary of the family: Transfer RNA (tRNA) molecules are approximately 80 nucleotides in length. Their secondary structure includes four short double-helical elements and three loops (D, anti-codon, and T loops). The record is from Rfam by way of RNAcentral. Lineage: Eukaryota; Metazoa; Arthropoda; Insecta; Blattodea; Termopsidae.